UCUUCGAUGGUCUAGUGGUGAUGAUUUCCGCUUGUCAUCAAACGCUGAUUACAAGUACCGCGGGAGACCGGUUUGUCACGUGACUUCGUUGUUCUCUUAGCCGUUUACUAACAAAAUAUCACAGGGGUUCGAUUCCCCGUCGGAGAG
This 147-nucleotide transfer RNA is filed under the name Coniosporium apollinis CBS 100218. RNAcentral describes it as "tRNA-Asp". Lineage: Eukaryota; Fungi; Ascomycota; Dothideomycetes. The record is from RNAcentral.